UACGAAGGGGGCUAGCGUUGCUCGGAAUCACUGGGCGUAAAGGGCGCGUAGGCGGCCAUUCAAGUCGGGGGUGAAAGCCCAGGGCUCAACCCUGGAAUUGCCUUCGAUACUGUUUGGCUAGAGACCGGAAGAGGUAAGUGGAACUGCGAGUGUAGAGGUGAAAUUCGUAGAUAUUCGCAAGAACACCAGUGGCGAAGGCGGCUCACUGGCCCGAUACUGACGCUGAGGCACGAAAGCGUGGGGAGCAAACAGG
This 253-nucleotide ribosomal RNA is filed under the name uncultured bacterium. Its description in RNAcentral is "partial 16S ribosomal RNA". It matches the Rfam family "Bacterial small subunit ribosomal RNA", at positions 524 to 776 of the family's 1533-position model. The record is from RNAcentral.